AUUGAACGCUGGCGGCAUGCUUUACACAUGCAAGUCGAACGGCAGCGCGGGCUUCGGCCUGGCGGCGAGUGGCGAACGGGUGAGUAAUGCAUCGGAACGUGCCCAGUAGUGGGGGAUAGCCCGGCGAAAGCCGGAUUAAUACCGCAUACGACCUGAGGGUGAAAGCGGGGGACCGAAAGGCCUCGCGCUAUUGGAGCGGCCGAUGCCGGAUUAGCUAGUUGGGGGGGUAAAGGCUUACCAAGGCGACGAUCCGUAGCUGGUCUGAGAGGACGACCAGCCACACUGGGACUGAGACACGGCCCAGACUCCUACGGGAGGCAGAAGUGGGGAAUUUUGGACAAUGGGGGCAACCCUGAUCCAGCCAUGCCGCGUGCGGGAAGAAGGCCUUCGGGUUGUAAACCGCUUUUGUUCGGGAAGAAAUCCUCUGGGCUAAUACCCAGGGGGGAUGACGGUACCGGAAGAAUAAGCACCGGCUAACUACGUG
RNAcentral lists this ribosomal RNA (484 nucleotides) under uncultured bacterium. RNAcentral's name for it is "partial 16S ribosomal RNA". It matches the Rfam family "Bacterial small subunit ribosomal RNA", at positions 29 to 507 of the family's 1533-position model. The record is from RNAcentral.